Long non-coding RNA from Cynoglossus semilaevis (tongue sole), 732 nucleotides. RefSeq lists it as uncharacterized. The record is from RefSeq and is a predicted model, not a curated record. The transcript has 4 exons. Lineage: Eukaryota; Metazoa; Chordata; Actinopteri; Pleuronectiformes; Cynoglossidae.
GCUGACUUCCGUACCGGCUCUCUGUAUGGAGUCUGUCAGGAUGCGGUCGGGGGUGUCGUACUUGGUGUGGUAGAUGAAGCCGUUCUCGAUGAAGGCCAGGUCGAUGCCUGUCAAUCAAACACAUCAAUGUUGUGAAAAAGGGAUUUCCAGGGAAAGGAAGUCGAGGACAUCAGGUCAUUUAUUAAAAAACGUGAUUCUUGGACAAGGGGGGAAAACAAACAACAACUUCAACCGAAGGAGUCUCACCUGGGAUGUUACCGAAGUCCCUGUAAAUACGGAAAUCGGUGUCGGAGGGAAUGAUGCCGCUCUGAAAAACCUCCUGACCGACCACAGAGGCGAAAGGAUGUUUGGCCGCAUGGACGUAGGCCUGGACCAGCCACGGGUUCUCUGGACCUUGGAGGACGACAGAAAGGAUGUUUUCCUCCGCUCCGUUAAAGAGGAAGAUGACUCCAUGGCGGAGCGGUGAGGACUGAUUGGCCAGAGAGUGAAGGACUUCCAGCAUCACUGCGCAGCUCACUGCAUCGUCACUGGCUCCUAACACGACGACCAAGAGAGCAGAGAGAGAGCAGAGAGAGAGCAGGUUACCUUGGAGAUCAAAGUGGAGGUGAAGGGGACACACGGCAGUGGUUUCUAGGCGGGUCUGUGGCUGUUUUAACUGGAGGAAAGGUUAGCGCGGCAGCGGCUCCGGCGCUGACAGAACAAAAUCGUACUGAAAAAGUCCCAAAAAAAAAA